RNAcentral lists this ribosomal RNA (257 nucleotides) under uncultured bacterium. RNAcentral's name for it is "partial 16S ribosomal RNA". It matches the Rfam family "Bacterial small subunit ribosomal RNA", at positions 793 to 1055 of the family's 1533-position model. The record is from RNAcentral.
GUCCACGCCCUAAACUAUGAUCACUCGUUGUUGGCGAUACACAGUCAGCGACUAAGGGAAACCAUUAAGUGAUCCACCUGGGAAGUACGACCGCAAGGUUGAAACUCAAAGGAAUUGACGGGGCCCGCACAAGCGGAGGAGCAUGUGGUUUAAUUCGAUGAUACGCGAGGAACCUUACCUGGGCUUGAAAGUUAGUGACAUCCCGUGAAAGCGGGACUUCCGCAAGGACACGAAACUAGGUGCUGCAUGGCUGUCGU